Pimephales promelas (fathead minnow) is the source of this 711-nucleotide non-coding RNA. Lineage: Eukaryota; Metazoa; Chordata; Actinopteri; Cypriniformes; Leuciscidae. The record is from RefSeq and is a predicted model, not a curated record.
GUUUUCCCAGGAAAGUCCCCGCACCCCUCUGGCGUCUCUGAAAUGGCACUGGUGUAAAGGCUGAUCAACAAUGCUCCAGUCUCUCACCAGUGUAACUCACAGCCUAUACACAGCGUGGCGAGAACGCAGCGUUUCCCCUUUGAAAGAGGGCCUGAAGGCUUCUGUGACUGGAGCUGCAUGAACGGACCAUCUGUUUUCUGCUCCACUUACAUUCUGCCUGGAGUUGUUCAGCACUACAUUCCUGCAGCUUCCCCUCCGCAGUGCCCCAAGCAGUGCUCACUGUCAAUGCCAGGGCCUAAUUAGGACACCGAUUCUCUGUGCAGAUCCACACGUCUGGGUUAUCCUCAACCAUUUACUAAAUCCUUGAAGUAAGAGAAUAAGGAUGAAUGAAUGAAUCAGUGUCCACAUUAGAUUCAUGUGGGUACAAGCUUUGUACAGCAAUGAUGUUUUUCUAUUGCAUCCUUUAUUCUUUUAUCAGUUAUCUGUCUGGUAGCUGAUCAAACUGAAUGAACAAUGAAAAAUGCAUGUUAUUGAAUUAUUGAUCAUGUGUGGUGUAGCAAAUUAUGGGCCAUAUUGAUGACAUCCUCAGCUACUGUUUUGCACUCUUAUUUUAGUCAAUAUGUCAAACCUUGCUCUGAAUAACAAAAAGUUUUAGCCCUAAUUUUUUUUAAUUAUGUUUCAUGCAGAAUAAAAGAACCAUGCACCCAAAAA